AGUGAACGCUGGCGGUAGGCCUAACACAUGCAAGUCGAACGGCAGCACAGUGAGAGCUUGCUCUGACGGGUGGCGAGUGACGGAUGGGUGAGGGAUACAUCGGAAUCUAGUUUUUCGUGGGGGUUAACGUAGGGGAACUUACGCUAAUACCGCAGACGAUCUACCGGUGAAAGCAGGUGAUCCUUGGACCUUUCGCGAAUGCAUGAGCCGUUGUCGGUUUAGCUAGGUGGCGUGGUAAAGGCACACCAAGGCCAGGAUCCGUAGCUGGCCUGAGAGGAUGGUCAGCCACCCUGGAAGUGAGACAGGCCCCAGACUCCUAGGGUGGGCAGCAGUGGGGAAUAUUGGACAAUGGAGGCAAGCGUAAUCCAGCCAUACCGCGUAGGUUAAGAAGGCCUUCGGGUUGUAAAGUCCUGUUGUUGGGAAAGAAGAGCAGCAGGUUAAUAACCCGCUGUUGUGACGGUACCCAAAGAAUAAGCACCGGCUAACUUCGUG
RNAcentral lists this ribosomal RNA (492 nucleotides) under uncultured bacterium. RNAcentral describes it as "partial 16S ribosomal RNA". It matches the Rfam family "Bacterial small subunit ribosomal RNA", at positions 29 to 507 of the family's 1533-position model. The record is from RNAcentral.